AAAAGAAAUCAACCGAGAUUCCCCCAGUAGCGGCGAGCGAACGGGGAGCAGCCCAGAGCCUGAAUCAGUGUGUGUGUUAGUGGAAGCGUCUGGAAAGGCGUGCGAUACAGGGUGACAGCCCCGUACACAAAAAUGCACAUACUGUGAGCUCGAUGAGUAGGGCGGGACACGUGGUAUCCUGUCUGAAUAUGGGGGGACCAUCCUCCAAGGCUAAAUACUCCUGACUGACCGAUAGUGAACCAGUACCGUGAGGGAAAGGCGAAAAGAACCCCGGCGAGGGGAGUGAAAAAGAACCUGAAACCGUGUACGUACAAGCAGUGGGAGCACGCUUAGGCGUGUGACUGCGUACCUUUUGUAUAAUGGGUCAGCGACUUAUAUUCUGUAGCAAGGUUAACCGAAUAGGGGAGCCGAAGGGAAACCGAGUCUUAACUGGGCGUUAAGUUGCAGGGUAUAGACCCGAAACCCGGUGAUCUAGCCAUGGGCAGGUUGAAGGUUGGGUAACACUAACUGGAGGACCGAACCGACUAAUGUUGAAAAAUUAGCGGAUGACUUGUGGCUGGGGGUGAAAGGCCAAUCAAACCGGGAGAUAGCUGGUUCUCCCCGAAAGCUAUUUAGGUAGCGCCUCGUGAAUUCAUCUCCGGGGGUAGAGCACUGUUUCGGCAAGGGGGUCAUCCCGACUUACCAACCCGAUGCAAACUGCGAAUACCGGAGAAUGUUAUCACGGGAGACACACGGCGGGUGCUAACGUCCGUCGUGAAGAGGGAAACAACCCAGACCGCCAGCUAAGGUCCCAAAGUCAUGGUUAAGUGGGAAACGAUGUGGGAAGGCCCAGACAGCCAGGAUGUUGGCUUAGAAGCAGCCAUCAUUUAAAGAAAGCGUAAUAGCUCACUGGUCGAGUCGGCCUGCGCGGAAGAUGUAACGGGGCUAAACCAUGCACCGAAGCUGCGGCAGCGACGCUUAUGCGUUGUUGGGUAGGGGAGCGUUCUGUAAGCCUGUGAAGGUGUGCUGUGAGGUAUGCUGGAGGUAUCAGAAGUGCGAAUGCUGACAUAAGUAACGAUAAAGCGGGUGAAAAGCCCGCUCGCCGGAAGACCAAGGGUUCCUGUCCAACGUUAAUCGGGGCAGGGUGAGUCGACCCCUAAGGCGAGGCCGAAAGGCGUAGUCGAUGGGAAACAGGUUAAUAUUCCUGUACUUGGUGUUACUGCGAAGGGGGGACGGAGAAGGCUAUGUUGGCCGGGCGACGGUUGUCCCGGUUUAAGCGUGUAGGCUGGUUUUCCAGGCAAAUCCGGAAAAUCAAGGCCGAGGCGUGAUGACGAGGCACUACGGUGCUGAAGCAACAAAUGCCCUGCUUCCAGGAAAAGCCUCUAAGCAUCAGGUAACAUCAAAUCGUACCCCAAACCGACACAGGUGGUCAGGUAGAGAAUACCAAGGCGCUUGAGAGAACUCGGGUGAAGGAACUAGGCAAAAUGGUGCCGUAACUUCGGGAGAAGGCACGCUGAUACGUAGGUGAAGCGACUUGCUCGUGGAGCUGAAAUCAGUCGAAGAUACCAGCUGGCUGCAACUGUUUAUUAAAAACACAGCACUGUGCAAACACGAAAGUGGACGUAUACGGUGUGACGCCUGCCCGGUGCCGGAAGGUUAAUUGAUGGGGUUAGCGCAAGCGAAGCUCUUGAUCGAAGCCCCGGUAAACGGCGGCCGUAACUAUAACGGUCCUAAGGUAGCGAAAUUCCUUGUCGGGUAAGUUCCGACCUGCACGAAUGGCGUAAUGAUGGCCAGGCUGUCUCCACCCGAGACUCAGUGAAAUUGAACUCGCUGUGAAGAUGCAGUGUACCCGCGGCAAGACGGAAAGACCCCGUGAACCUUUACUAUAGCUUGACACUGAACAUUGAGCCUUGAUGUGUAGGAUAGGUGGGAGGCUUUGAAGUGUGGACGCCAGUCUGCAUGGAGCCGACCUUGAAAUACCACCCUUUAAUGUUUGAUGUUCUAACGUGGACCCGUGAUCCGGGUUGCGGACAGUGUCUGGUGGGUAGUUUGACUGGGGCGGUCUCCUCCUAAAGAGUAACGGAGGAGCACGAAGGUUGGCUAAUCCUGGUCGGACAUCAGGAGGUUAGUGCAAUGGCAUAAGCCAGCUUGACUGCGAGCGUGACGGCGCGAGCAGGUGCGAAAGCAGGUCAUAGUGAUCCGGUGGUUCUGAAUGGAAGGGCCAUCGCUCAACGGAUAAAAGGUACUCCGGGGAUAACAGGCUGAUACCGCCCAAGAGUUCAUAUCGACGGCGGUGUUUGGCACCUCGAUGUCGGCUCAUCACAUCCUGGGGCUGAAGUAGGUCCCAAGGGUAUGGCUGUUCGCCAUUUAAAGUGGUACGCGAGCUGGGUUUAGAACGUCGUGAGACAGUUCGGUCCCUAUCUGCCGUGGGCGCUGGAGAACUGAGGGGGGCUGCUCCUAGUACGAGAGGACCGGAGUGGACGCAUCACUGGUGUUCGGGUUGUCAUGCCAAUGGCACUGCCCGGUAGCUAAAUGCGGAAGAGAUAAGUGCUGAAAGCAUCUAAGCACGAAACUUGCCCCGAGAUGAGUUCUCCCUGACCCUUUAAGGGUCCUGAAGGAACGUUGAAG
RNAcentral lists this ribosomal RNA (2607 nucleotides) under Shigella flexneri. RNAcentral's name for it is "partial 23S ribosomal RNA". It matches the Rfam family "Bacterial large subunit ribosomal RNA", at positions 217 to 2843 of the family's 2925-position model. Lineage: Bacteria; Pseudomonadati; Pseudomonadota; Gammaproteobacteria; Enterobacterales; Enterobacteriaceae. The record is from RNAcentral.